CAUAGCGACUAUCGUGGCAUAUCAAUAAGCGGAGGAAAAGAAACUAACAAGGAUUCCCUUAGUAACGGCGAGUGAAGCGGGAAGAGCUCAAAUUUGAAAUCUUCAAGGUUCUACCUUGACGAAUUGUAGUUUAUAGAAGUGUUUUCUGUAGUGGAGUGGCAAAAGUUCUUUGGAAUAGGACAUCAUAGAGGGUGAGAAUCCCGUAUUUGGUCAUUCUUUCUAGCUUUGUGAUACACUUUCAACGAGUCGGAUUGUUUGGGAAUGCAGUCCAAAAUGGGUGGUAAAUUUCAUCUAAAGCUAAAUAUUGGCGAGAGACCGAUAGCGAACAAGUACCGUGAGGGAAAGAUGAAAAGAACUUUGAAAAGAGAGUUAAACAGUACGUGAAAUUGUCAAAAGGGAAGCGUUUGACACCAGUGUUGUUUUUCCGAAAAUCAAUUACGAAUGUUUUGUUUUUGAGGAGUUAUGACUUCAUCGGCUUGCUCCUUUCUUUACUGAAACUUUCUUAAUGCACUUUUCGGUUAACAAGUCAACAUCAAUUUCUUUUGUUGUAAAAGGGUAUGAGGAAGGUGGCUUUCUUUUCGGAGAAAGUGUUUAUAGCCUUUGAUCUCUGCAACCGGAGAGACUGAGGUCUGCAGCGUAGACUCUUCGGGGUUAAAUACACUUGUGCUAAGCUAUAGCCUUGUAUAGACAACUUGUUGACUAUGCUCAGUCAUGUAGCUUACUCGCUUAUGCUAUUUUACCUACGCUUAGGAUGUUGAUAUGCAUGACUGAUAU
RNAcentral lists this ribosomal RNA (774 nucleotides) under uncultured Neocallimastigales. Its description in RNAcentral is "partial large subunit ribosomal RNA". It matches the Rfam family "Eukaryotic large subunit ribosomal RNA", at positions 22 to 643 of the family's 3401-position model. The record is from RNAcentral. Lineage: Eukaryota; Fungi; Neocallimastigomycota; Neocallimastigomycetes; Neocallimastigales.